GAUGAACGCUGGCGGCGUGCUUAACACAUGCAAGUCGAACGGUGAAGCUCCAGCUUGCUGGAGUGGAUCAGUGGCGAACGGGUGAGUAACACGUGAGCAACCUGCCCCUGACUCUGGGAUAACAGCCGGAAACGGCUGCUAAUACCGGAUAUGCACCAUGAACGCAUGUUCUGUGGUGGGAAAGAUUUUUCGGUUGGGGAUGGGCUCGCGGCCUAUCAGCUUGUUGGUGAGGUAAUGGCUCACCAAGGCGUCGACGGGUAGCCGGCCUGAGAGGGUGACCGGCCACACUGGGACUGAGACACGGCCCGGACUCCUACGGGAGGCAGCAGUGGGGAAUAUUGCACAAUGGGCGAAAGCCUGAUGCAGCAACGCCGCGUGAGGGAUGACGGCCUUCGGGUUGUAAACCUCUUUUAGCAGGGAAGAAGCGAGAGUGACGGUACCUGCAGAAAAAGCGCCGGCUAACUACGU
This 468-nucleotide ribosomal RNA is filed under the name uncultured bacterium. Its description in RNAcentral is "partial 16S ribosomal RNA". It matches the Rfam family "Bacterial small subunit ribosomal RNA", at positions 28 to 506 of the family's 1533-position model. The record is from RNAcentral.